UAGGGAAUCUUCGGCAAUGGACGAAAGUCUGACCGAGCAACGCCGCGUGAGUGAAGAAGGUUUUCGGAUCGUAAAACUCUGUUGUUAGAGAAGAACAAGGACGUUAGUAACUGAACGUCCCCUGACGGUAUCUAACCAGAAAGCCACGGCUAACUACGUGCCAGCAGCCGCGGUAAUACGUAGGUGGCAAGCGUUGUCCGGAUUUAUUGGGCGUAAAGCGAGCGCAGUCGGUUUCUUUAGUCUGAUGUGAAAGCCCCCGGCUAAACCGGGGAGGGUGAUUGGAAAGUGGGAGACUAGAGUGCAGAAGAGGAGAGUGGAAUUCGAUGUGUAGCGGUGAAAUGCGUAGAUAUAUGGAGGAACACGAGUGGCGAAGGCGGCUCGCUGGUCUGUAACUGAAGCUGAGGCUAGAAAGCGUGGGGAGCAAACAGG
RNAcentral lists this ribosomal RNA (429 nucleotides) under Gemmatimonadota bacterium. RNAcentral's name for it is "Gemmatimonadetes bacterium partial 16S ribosomal RNA". It matches the Rfam family "Bacterial small subunit ribosomal RNA", at positions 355 to 776 of the family's 1533-position model. The record is from RNAcentral. Lineage: Bacteria; Pseudomonadati; Gemmatimonadota.